This 253-nucleotide ribosomal RNA is filed under the name uncultured bacterium. RNAcentral's name for it is "partial 16S ribosomal RNA". It matches the Rfam family "Archaeal small subunit ribosomal RNA", at positions 474 to 727 of the family's 1478-position model. The record is from RNAcentral.
UACCAGCACCCCGAGUGGUCGGGACGCUUAUUGGGCCUAAAGCAUCCGUAGCCGGUUCUACAAGUCUUCCGUUAAAUCCACCUGCUUAACAGAUGGGCUGCGGAGGAUACUAUAGAGCUAGGAGGCGGGAGAGGCAAGCGGUACUUAGUGGGUAGGGGUAAAAUCCGUUGAUCCAUUGAAGACCACCAGUGGCGAAGGCGGCUUGCCAGAACGCACUCGACGGUGAGGGAUGAAAGCUGGGGGAGCAAACCGG